This 290-nucleotide long non-coding RNA is filed under the name Linum usitatissimum (flax). Its description in RNAcentral is "long non-coding RNA (LUSI_LNC001380)". Lineage: Eukaryota; Viridiplantae; Streptophyta; Magnoliopsida; Malpighiales; Linaceae. The record is from RNAcentral.
CCGGAAAUUCUUUCAUAUUAAAAUUCGACCACCAAUAUAAAACCCCGGAAAUUAUACAUCUAUACGAUCAUUCACUAACGGAUUUACGCAUACAUUUUCAUAUUUCUGUGACAUGCCUACACAUCAUAUAUGAACACAGUCCCACAGUAGAGCCAAGUUAUCAGGAAUGACUUACAGAUCGAUUCUUCCCGACAACAAUAUGGAAAAUAGGUAUCAAUAAUUAAUAAAUAUGAAAUCAAAGGAGAAAGAUGGUACCAUAAAGAGGACUUGCUCUCAUGCAUAUUCAUCAG